GCCGGUGCUUCAUCAUAGAUCAGGAAACCUGGCCAGAUCAGGGAAACCUGGGCGGCCGCCGCGUAUUUGCAAGACGCUGCAGCCGUUUACAUA
This 93-nucleotide small RNA is filed under the name uncultured Lachnoclostridium sp. Its description in RNAcentral is "COG2827 RNA". It matches the Rfam family "COG2827 RNA". From Rfam's summary of the family: Clostridiales. Nearby to self-splicing intron genes Lineage: Bacteria; Bacillati; Bacillota; Clostridia; Lachnospirales; Lachnospiraceae. The record is from RNAcentral.